GUCGUCGUGGCCGAGUGGUUAAGGCGACAGACUAGAAAUCUGUAGGGCUCUGCCCGCACAGGUUCGAAUCCUGUCGGCGACG
This is a non-coding RNA of Ciona savignyi (Pacific transparent sea squirt), 82 nucleotides long. The record is from Rfam. NCBI's taxonomy places the organism in Eukaryota, Metazoa, Chordata, Ascidiacea, Phlebobranchia, Cionidae.